GACGAACGCUGGCGGCGUGCUUAACACAUGCAAGUCGAACGGAAAGGCCCUGCUUUUGUGGGGUGCUCGAGUGGCGAACGGGUGGGUAACACGUGAGUAACCUGCCCUUGACUUUGGGAUAACUUCAGGAAACUGGGGCUAAUACCGGAUAGGAGCUCCUGCUGCAUGGUGGGGGUUGGAAAGUUUCGGCGGUUGGGGAUGGACUCGCGGCUUAUCAGCUUGUUGGUGGGGUAGUGGCUUACCAAGGCUUUGACGGGUAGCCGGCCUGAGAGGGUGACCGGCCACAUUGGGACUGAGAUACGGCCCAGACUCCUACGGGAGGCAGCAGUGGGGAAUAUUGCACAAUGGGCGGAAGCCUGAUGCAGCAACGCCGCGUGCGGGAUGAAGGCCUUCGGGUUGUAAACCGCUUUCGCCUGUGACGAAGCGUGAGUGACGGUAAUGGGUAAAGAAGCACCGGCUAACUACGUG
RNAcentral lists this ribosomal RNA (468 nucleotides) under uncultured bacterium. Its description in RNAcentral is "partial 16S ribosomal RNA". It matches the Rfam family "Bacterial small subunit ribosomal RNA", at positions 28 to 507 of the family's 1533-position model. The record is from RNAcentral.